UCACAGAGAAGUAUGGGCUCCUGCAAAGUGUAAACUUGGAGUUUCCUUGACUUAGAAGUGAAAGAACAGCAGGAUUGGAGACUGUGUCUUCUGGAAGAUUUUUUGGAAUCCGUCUGGUGGGCAAGCUCUUUGUAAAUAAUGAUGUCUUAGAAUAGUUGUCAUUACUCUUUACUGAUUCUUCAGAGAAUAUCUAAUCAUUAACUUUUUAAAGAUUCAUUGGCUUGGAAGAUAACUUUCCUAAUGCUAUAGAAGCUACAUCCCAGGAGAAAGUCACUGGCCCAAUGAAUGUCUCUGAGCCAAAUUCCAGCUUUGCUUUAGUAAAUGAAUUUAUACUCCAAGAUUUAUCUUUUGAGUGGACAAUUCAGAUCUUCCUCUUCUCACUCUUCACUACAACAAAUGCACUGACCAUAACAGGAAAUGGAGCCAUUGCUUGCGCCCUGUGGUGUGACCGGCGACGUCACACUCCCAUGUACAUGUUCCUGGGAAAUUUCUCCUUUUAAGAGAUAUGGUAUGUCUCUUCUACAGUUCCCAAGAUGUUGGUCAACUUCCUUUCAGAGAAAAAAACCAUCUCCUUUGCUGGAUGUUUUCUCCAAUUUUAUUUCUUCUUCUCUUUGGGUACAUCUGAAUGCUUGAUUUUGACUGUGAUGGCCUUUGAUCAGUACCUUGUUAUCUGCCAUCCCUUGCACUAUCCUAAUAAAUCAUGACUGGGCAUCUCUGUGCCAAACUGGUCAUACUGUGCUGGGUUUGUGGAUUUCUGUGUUUCCUGAUCCCCACUGUUCUCAUCUCUCAGAUGCCCUUCUGUGGUCCAAACAUUAAUGACCAUGUUGUGUGUGACCCAGGG
Molecule: long non-coding RNA, 841 nt
Filed under: Homo sapiens (human)
Lineage: Eukaryota; Metazoa; Chordata; Mammalia; Primates; Hominidae
Description: HSALNT0379752
Source: RNAcentral